UCCUUCUCGCACUCGCAGCCGGCGCUGCAACACGAGCGCGCGUUUUACUUUUCGAAGCCGGCGAGGAGGCCUACGAAUAUGUAAUCCUGGAUACGGGUGUACGCGUACGUGCAAGGGGACGUGUUUGCGCCACGAAUACUAUCGCGAGUCGACGUAUCUCUCGAACUUACGCAGAAAUCGUAACGAGAUAAUGCUCUGUAAAUUGAAAAUUCACUUCUACCGGAUCCCGAAUCUCGUUUGCGAAGGGAAAGCGGGUUGAACGACUCGGAAGGAAACACCCAGAGACAGAGUUGAAUUAACGUAGUCAGAAAUGGCGUUCGUGGAUCGGCACGAAGGAAACUGAACUCUUGUCUAUUUUUUUAUGCUUCGAUGCUUCGUACUGGCUGAUGUCCACGGAAACAUCUCAAUCUCGUACCCCGUAUCACGUGGGAAACCUUUUCGAUGUUCGAUUAUAUGCACGAUACGUUGUUGAAAAUUUUCGUGUGUCUCUCUAUCGCUUUGACGUAGUAGUUGGCAGCGUAAUACGUAAUACAGUGAGUGUACGUGCCCGAUUCCACGUCUCUAUUUCUAAUUAGCAAUGACUCAACUCGAGACGUAUGGUCGCAUGCCAAUGAUAAGCGGAUGUACAAUAUUUUGCGCGUAUUCUAGUUGUCGUAGAAGUACGUCCAAGUAUUUACUUGUAGUCCUAUAUACAAUUUCGAACAAGGACACGAAACAUUCUAAAAACCGAGCACGAAUUCCCUUCGAAGCGUUAUAUGUCGCGUAUUCUUGCGGUCAGUAAAUACGCUGCUCUGGUGACAGUGUAUACAUGCUCGCUACACUCUGUUUUUCCCGAAUGUAACUUCUCUCGUGUGUACUCUCGCUUCCAGGGAUCACCGGUAUGAAACACAACCGUAUGCGUUUCACGAGGUGUAAAUAUUUACGCCGCUGGCCCUUGGAUAUAUUACAUCGAAAUUCUAGAGAGAACGGUCGCGGUUCUUUUUGCGUCGCGAACUUAACCUCUUCUGUACGCGCCGUAUUUUCGCGACGCGAGUUUUUUUUACGCUGUUCGCGCCUUAAUAUCGUACUCGUUAUAAAUUUCGAUGACACAUCGAGCGUAAUGUUCGUUCCUGCCGCGAUCGCGAAUCUCUUUCGAAUAUACGUGGACGUGAACUCGUGUGUACUGUUCGUGAGAAUAAAAAUUCGUGGACAACGAUCCCGCAAUAGCGUUAUUUUCAAUGUCGCAGUCGUACCAACUGUUCGAGAAAGAAUGCAGUCACACGAUGAAAUUUAUUUGGAAUCGAAACGCUAUUCUGGACUUGUGACGCGAUGACGUGAAUACGUAGUCCGCAGCUGGACCAGCUGAAGAGGCAGAAGAAAGGAACAACGAAGAAGCAUCGCAGAGGUGCAGAAUCCGAAGAAUGCUUCGUCAUCUUGAAGAACCGCUCCAGAGAUUCAUGCCGGACGUAGACAAAUGCGCGGUUACCGAUCCUGAUUCCACGAUAUAGCUGGCGAAGUCAGAAAGUCAGGGACGUCGAUUACAAAAGGAAUCCGAAGGAUGGAGUGACGACGAGCCUCGCGGUAAUUGGAUUUUUUCCCGCUUUCGAAUAGCAAGCAAUUCAUUAGGGGUCUGUUUGCGCGGCGUGGUUCAAGAACCCUCGAUCAAACCUCUUUCUCUCUCGCUCCGUCUCGGCCGAAAACGAGAGUGGAAAUUUACACGUGCUCCUGGUCGCGAACUGGCUACUCAAACAGGCCUUUGUGUACAGCCGGCCGGUAAACACGGAUGCCAUUAAUUGCCAUUAAUUCAGCCGCGUUAUGGAGAAGUUUCGACGAACCCGCCCACUGAAAAUUCAGACUUCUCCAACCCCUUGCACGCCCUUUCGUAGCCGACGUUUAGAUUGGGUCGGUUCCAGAUACUCUGGGGUCUGUCGAGAGGCUACGUCGCGCUUGCCCUUCGACCGACUUUGCCGAAACGUGCUUCUCGAGUUUUGCAGCUGGAAAUUUACGUUAGACAAUCGCGCGACCUCCAAAUUUUCUAAACUCAAAUUAGAUUUGAGAAUUCUCUGGAUUCGUGAAAUACAGUUAGAGAAACUGGGACAUGAACGCCGAGGAUCCCUAGAGAUCGUAGAUUUUGUAAUUUGACGGUAUUGCGAGCUGUAUCGAGUUUACGCGAGAAAUUUCCAAGUGUCCGUUUAAUUUACAAAGUUGCUACUAACGCUGUGAAAGAAACUCUGAUAGCGCUAAAGUCUGAGAAAAUAAGAAGGCGAAACGGUGAUGCAGUCUACCGAGAUAACCAUAAUCGGCGAAGGGCAUGAAAUUAAGCACGGUCAAAGUCUUCCAUCCCUAGCUCGUACGUUCUUUUUCGAGCUAUUACGACGAACUGGCUCCGACCCUGACAAUAAUAACAGUAACAAUAACACGAAAUCGUGGAGCGGUCUGAUAUGAAUAUGUAUCAGGUACAUCUGUUGCCUCGUAGACCUUUCGCCGUUAUGAGACGAGAAAGGGUGCAGACGCGAUUCAAUAUCGGUCCGGCAUCUUCGCCAGAAGUUGCCAACGCGGGACUAAUUUCCUACCAGCACCGUUUUAUCUCCGACUCGUCCAACCUGCAUGAACAGCCACGUCCCACGACCAACGCUUCGAUCGACGUUUGAAUCCUGCGAUCGAAGGGACGAUAUAUAGUAUUUAAUUAAGUGAUUUCGAUAAAUAAUCACGGUGGGGUAAGCGCAAAGGGUGCAUGGGGUUCGUACUUUGUCUUUUAUGUUUCAUACUUGGAGGGUGAAAACGAGGGCAAUUUUGUCUUGCUGAUAUGCAAAUCGAGUUUAUGCAGAUGCGCGUCAGCGGCUAUAAUCGUUGUCAAUUUGUUUUCGUACGUUUCAACGAUUCUACUCGUGUUCGAGCUACAAAUUGAUAAAGCAAAUUUAACGAAACAGAAAGUAAAAUUUGACUCCUGGUUGACUAUUUUUAAGAUUCGUCGGAUCGAACAGGCCACGUCCAUCGACUUUUCCCCUCCGAAAAAUGAUCUUUUUAAACGUCUUUCGACAAGGACGGAAGGCACAUCGCGGAAAGAUUUUAUCGAAGCGGGGAUAGAAGGCUUCGUCGCCGGCCUUUCGGCAACAAAUUAAGGAUUUUAAGCCGAAAGUAAUUAGUCCCGGCGAACAAGGUGUCACUCCGUGAAAACGAGGAGACGGCGAGUCAGCCUUCAUUGUUCUCGCCAUAAUCCCCGGGGAGGACGUUCAUAAGUUCCUUCUUCUCUUAGUCCUCGGUGAAGAAAACGGCUGGAAAGGAUGAUUUCGCUUUCCGGCCAGAUUAAUCGCCCUAUCGACCGUCUCCUCUUUUUUCCCCUUUUUCUCGUCUGCUUUCUGAACAAAGUGGACGUAUCUCGGCACGUUGGCUCGAAAACGACUUCUUAUUAACCUUCUUAGUUACAGUGGUUCCCGCGUUGCAUUGGUCUUAACAGACGUAAAUAACGCGUACCGUACCGACUUUAGUAUUUAAGACUUUGAUCGUUACACGAUCAACGAAAAAAUACCGACCGGUCGAUAGUAUCGAAGCUUUUGAAGAUUCGUCGAUAUCUUGAACGAGCAAUUAGACGCUCGAGUAGCACAGACGAAUUUACUUUCCUCCGCCGACUCGACGCAAAAGAGAUAAGAAUCGCGGAGAACAAGAGGAUUCUGGAGAAUCGUGCGAUCGGUUACGCGUGGAAGGAUCACGAUCGAUUACCGUGAAACUGGAAAUUGAAUUACCGGAUACGAUCUUUCCCUCUCUAUUGUUCUCUCUUGUAGAGCGGCGGAACUUGACGCGAUAAUCUUAUUUAGCCUUUCUACUCGGCCAAAUGGAUUAUUUCGGCCGGCGAUGAAAGCCUCCCGUUCGAAAAUCGCGGAUCCUCUUUAGUUACUCCGUCGACGCAGUUAGUUAAUUAAAAGGUAAAGAGAGAGAGAGAGGAGAAGGAGAAAACCGGCAACGAUAGAGAGAAGAGGAACGAAGAGGUAAAAGGCUGGCCAGACAGCUUGGAAUUUGUAUCCCGAUCGCGGCGUACGACCCUUUCUGCUUCGAACCGCUGCCAUUGCAUCGGGACGGCGAGUGUUUGCACCGGUUUAUUUGCGAUUUCGACGUGUCCGAAGUUAAUUCGAAAUGUGCUCGUCUAUCCUGCGUAGUUAUUACCACCGCCUUUCUCUUUAAAGCCGAUGGCAUCUAAUUUAAAGGGCGACAUACGCACAGAGAUUAAUGUAUCGCCCUCGUACGUUAAUAUACGUGUUUUUAAACGAAUUUUUGUAUAUACGAGAGGUCGACGAGAAAAAGGGGGGAACGUCAGUUUUGACGAAUUUCCAGCUUAAUAUUUUUUUCACACGCUCUUGCCUGCGCUCUUUGCCACUGGUUACGUCGCAUUAAUUUCAAUCAACAUUUUCAGGCUUUUUUACUGCGGUUAUAAGAAAUUGAGGUGUACAACGUGCUUCUCAUAUUUUGCAGUUUAACGCGUAUACAUGUAAUAUGAUAAUAAUAAAAUUAAAAAUGGUACAGAAUAAAAUGUUGAUAUAUCUACGAGGAAAUACGAGGUCGUGAUUAUUUUCGAAAUUAUGUAUCGAAAAGUAAAUUUUCGUUCUCCGAGAAAAUGAUAUGAAACCGUUCCCACUCUCUCACUGCGAUGAAAAUGAAAAUCAAAUCGAUUCGUCGAAUGACUCUUCUUAAACAGAUUCUCAACAAAGUGACCUUUCCAACGAGCUCAAAAACAUAUCCUUCUUUAACGUUGGCCGAACUUCAUUUUAUUUUUUCCCAUUUUACUCAACAAUGCAGUAUCAUUGUACGAUCAAAAAAAAUAUUAAUAAUUUUACAGGAGAGGAAUCGAUAGAAUUCGCGAGGAAUAUGACGAGCUAUCGCGAGGCAACCCUUCGAGGAGGGCACCCUUUCAAAUGCUACAGUCGAGCCGCUUAACUAUGUAUUUCACCCUCCCUAAAACUCAACAAAUUUUACGAAGAAUCCGCCAACUGUGCCUCCCAGUAAUAUAUGCGGAAGCCUGACAAAGGCACAUUAACAUUUAUAUUUGCGAAGACGCGGCCGAUCGCGAGUCCCCGAUACCGCUACGACUUCCGUUAUGGAAUUGCUAAUGAUAAGCACCGUGGAAGGGCUGAAAAACGUUUAUUUCAUGGGUGUAACAACACGAGUCGCUCUAUUGCCCAAACAGCGCGAGCAAAAUAUUCGACGCUUGGAAUGCGAACUUUUUCGUGAGGGAAUAAAAACAGGUAUGAGAGUAUAGUAACGUAGCGAUUUGGAGGACUGUAAUCGAAUUCCAUUCGGUAUUUCCGCGGCUACGCUCGGUUACAUGGUCGGUAAUGGCUUCGGCAAAAAGCUUGUCCAACGAAAAGCAGUCUGAAAUUAAAUUAUCUCGUGUCGAGACGCUAACGAUGAUAAACUCUGAGGGAAUGAAAACUUUGCAAACAUGACAAAUUUUUUACGUAUUUCAUAUGGAUUAAUAGACGAGAAUGUAGAUUAUAAAAUGAACAAUACAAAAAAAAAUGACAAACCAAAAUAUAAAUAAAUAAAUAAUAGGAAUCUCCUGUAAGAAAAAUGAAGGAGAACGAGAGUAUUCCGUGUCGUGAUCGGCUCUUUAAAUAUUACAUGCGAGAAUCGGUUGGAUCGCAGGCGCGUGCAAAUGCAUCGGAACGAGAGUCGACGAGAGAAAAGAGAAUGGCCAAAAAGGAAUAGCAGGGCUCCGACGUUGAAAAUAAGCGGCUGGUUCAAGGGGUUGCGUUUAUAAGCCACGGGCUUUUUUGUAGUGCAAAUGAAUAGGUCCGACCCUCGUUCGUCGUAGGGAGCCGAGUGUCCGAAACUUUUGCAAUUUUACGCGGCGGCUGCUCGGUGCAUUUAUUUUCCUGAAAAAUUUAAACUCCCUCUCUGCUGCUCCUACAUAUGUGUGCGAGGUACUCUGCUUUUUUUCUCUUCCAAUUACGAAACGAACGGGACGAAAAGGAUCUUGAAAGCAGAUCGCGCGCGAUGAAAGCUCGAUGACGCUCGCUACGCUACGUUUUGUUCCCUCUGGAAAAGCCAGAUCGUAUCGCCAAGGAUAAUCCCAACGGAGGCGGAUAAGACAGCGGGAAGACACGAAGGCUGCUUCUACAUCGAUGAGUUGCGAAUCUAUUUGGCUUAUCUUUUAAACGGAGUAUCGCAUCCAGAUAAAGAAAGAACGCCUCAUCCAUAUCAAUGCAGAGAAGUUGGAUAGACGAUGAAAAAGGAACGCCGACCCCUCGAACCGAUCACGUAUACUCGUCUCCCCCGGGUUUCGACCCUUUCGCCUUUGGGAAUCGUUCUGACUCUUCGUUUACUUUCGAUUUCAAUUAAACGUCGCUAUUUUUUUACUAUCCAAAAGCUCCUCGUCGUUCUCUGACUAGAGGCAGGGUUGAAAAAUGAAGAACAACGUGCCUUCUUCUUGCCGGAAUCUUUAUUACAAAUUUCAGCUUGCUAGAAUAACAAGAAUAAUUAGUCUUAUCAAAUACAGCGAAUGAAAACAGUCAUGUGAAACCGUCUUAACAAUUAAGCUGAUGUAUCUCGUUCGAGACGAUAUCUUUUAUUAUUCACGAUCGUUCGAACAUUUCGGUGACAAUAUUCGGUGAAUAGUAUUCUCCUAUUAAUUAUGCUAUGUAAUAGUUGCUCAACAAUUUGUAGAAUAUUCCUCAAAAUAAUUAGAGGAUUAAAUUUCAGGUA
This is a long non-coding RNA of Bombus huntii, 6675 nucleotides long. RefSeq lists it as uncharacterized. The transcript is spliced from 3 exons. Lineage: Eukaryota; Metazoa; Arthropoda; Insecta; Hymenoptera; Apidae. The record is from RefSeq and is a predicted model, not a curated record.